UACUCCUGUUUCUGCCCCAAGGCCUUUAUGCUCCAUAGGUUUCUGGGUUCUGGUUAUGGAGAAGAUUGAGCCCUGUGUAUGAUUCUCUAAGUCAAUCAUUCGCAUAUAAUUGAGAAAUCAUAUGCAGGGAUCGUGGGCGCCGUUAUGAGAAACCUGCCUGCAUGAUUAAUUGCUGGUGGCCGUGGUCGUGGCUCCCUACAUCU
Molecule: small nucleolar RNA, 203 nt
Filed under: Lipomyces starkeyi NRRL Y-11557
Lineage: Eukaryota; Fungi; Ascomycota; Lipomycetes; Lipomycetales; Lipomycetaceae
Description: Small nucleolar RNA snR43
Rfam family: Small nucleolar RNA snR43
Source: Rfam by way of RNAcentral